UCCCUGGUAACUCAGUUGGUAGAGUAGGUGACUGUUAAUCACUUUGUCGGCGGUUCGAGUCCGUCCCAGGGAGCCA
This 76-nucleotide transfer RNA is filed under the name Gammaproteobacteria bacterium. RNAcentral describes it as "tRNA-Asn". It matches the Rfam family "tRNA". Rfam says of the family: Transfer RNA (tRNA) molecules are approximately 80 nucleotides in length. Their secondary structure includes four short double-helical elements and three loops (D, anti-codon, and T loops). The record is from RNAcentral. Lineage: Bacteria; Pseudomonadati; Pseudomonadota; Gammaproteobacteria. RNAcentral also lists the same sequence under 1 other name.